GUUACCGAUGCAUAAAAUGCAAAAAUAAAAUAAAAUAAAUAAACUAGAAAUUUGACAAAAAUAAAAAAAAAAAGGAGAGGGCGGGUGGGUAAAUUUCGAUCUGAUUACUCUAACGUAUUCUAAUGUAAUGACUAGGAAAAAGAAUUCACUUUAAAACUAAAGGUGGAGUGAACACAAUUCGAAAUCAGUUAAGCGAGAAUAUCAAAUGAUCGGCCAAAGGGGGGUAACUAGAACAUAUUUCGCAUCGUAAUUACUAGUUUUUUUAGAAAAAACAAACCAAUUACUUCUUGGCUUCAUAAAAGACUGUAAUAAUAAUAUAAAUUUAUUUGGCCGAAAACAUAAAUCUUUACAUACAUGAAUUACAAUAAUAUAAAGAACAAUUACCAAUACAUAUACAAAUAUUAAUACUUAUUCAGUUAAACUAGAAUAAUAUAAAUUAAGGCGGGCCACAAAAAUUAAAUAUCCGCCAAACUAGCCCGCCAAACAAAACCAAACAAGUUACAGAUGUGGUUAAACCCAAGAGAUGUAACACUCUCUUGAAAGUUCAACUCCAAGCAGUAAGAAUAAAACACUUCUUCAGCUGCUAGAUCUACUUAGGAGAUACUCACGGAAAUCUCUCCUAAAAGUAGAGUACCUUAAAGAGACAUAUAUACACUAAUGAAUCCAAAGGAUGAAACACUCCCUUGAAAAUUCAAACACCUAAGGAAUGAAACACUCCCUUUAGGCUAGCCUAUAAAAACUAAAUAAUAAUAAUGACAUACAUGAAGAC
This 769-nucleotide long non-coding RNA is filed under the name Mytilus galloprovincialis (Mediterranean mussel). The record is from RNAcentral. Lineage: Eukaryota; Metazoa; Mollusca; Bivalvia; Mytilida; Mytilidae.